UGCUCCCUACGGGACGCAGCAGUGAGGAAUAUUGGUCAAUGGGCUUACGCCUGAACCAGCCAAGUCGCGUGAGGGAAGACUGCCCUAUGGGUUGUAAACCUCUUUUGUCAGGGAGCAACGCCGGCUACGUGUAGCCGGACUGAGAGUACCUGAAGAAAAAGCAUCGGCUAACUCCGUGCCAGCAGCCGCGGUAAUACGGAGGAUGCGAGCGUUAUCCGGAUUUAUUGGGUUUAAAGGGGGCGUAGGCGGAUGGCCAAGUCAGCGGUAAAAUCGCGGG
This 277-nucleotide ribosomal RNA is filed under the name uncultured bacterium. RNAcentral describes it as "partial 16S ribosomal RNA". It matches the Rfam family "Bacterial small subunit ribosomal RNA", at positions 333 to 606 of the family's 1533-position model. The record is from RNAcentral.